GGAUGACUCAUUGCUUCGCUGUGUCAUGAGUUUCAUUUUGAAAUGGAAUACACUCUGUGGUUUCAUCUGAGGCUUCAUGUUGAUGCAAAAAGGAAAUGAGCCCAUAUUGGGAAGUCGGGCUGAAAUACACGCGUUGUAUCAAGCUGCUGCUUAGCCAUUCUCAUUUCCUCUGCUUUGCUAUUACCAAGCUGGUUUAUCUUCCUCUCACACCUCUCUCUCUCCAUCCCUUGUCUGAGAACGGGGUUAAGCAGACAGAACGCACCCAGAGACUAGCCUGUGAAUGAGCCACUGAGUAGCACCACUCGUCGAAUGACGUUCUGGGCUCAGAUCUUCCCGGGUUGGCGCUGACAAAAGAAUGCCGGUCUUCAUGGCACUCCCAUGCUUGCAAAAAGUGUCUGUUUUUAUGAAAAGCAUUUUAUAGUGUCAUUUCACAUAAAUAGUCACACCUUUAGACUUGGAUAUCUGCCAAUAUCAAGAACUACUGAGAACUAGGAAGAGCAGUAGAAAUAAAGUCGUAGUGGAGAAUGAAGAAAAACACCCAAGGCCUUCUACAUGCGGAAGGCAUUUAUUUCAGUCUUAAAUCAUAAACUGAGAAUCUGGAUGCAACGGAAGGUCUUUGGCUGAUAAGACUGAACACGUUUUAAACCGUUCUUCAAGAUGAAAAACAACAGUUUAACCCCAGUCAGCCCCUUCUGUUAGUGAAGACAGUGUGUCAUCGGUGUGGUUGGAGAAAUGUGAGUUCAUCAUGAAUGUUUCUAAAGUGAGACAUAUCCAAGAUGCAUGGACUGCUCCCGCGAGUACUUUGAAAGUCAGGAAGCAGCCUAUGAGAAGCUGUGAUUUCCACAGCCUUCCUACAAGUUGCUUGACAUUCACGCCUGACAAUGGUUUAUGUUAUGGUUCCUAUCACCCCUACAGCUCUGUGUGUCUCAGAUUCCAACACCUGCACGAAACUCAGGGAAAACGUGUCGACGAUCAUCAAGCACAUCACAACAAACAGCAGUCAGAGACCGAAGAAAUACCAAAUUAUUGAAACUGAUUCAAAUUCAAGACUUAAAAAAGCAACCAGUUCACUUCAUUCACACCAACAGCUUGUAUGUUUUCUAAACUUGAAAGAGGAGUUUUUUGAAAUUACGAUUUCAGGACUUCCCUUGCUCCAAACCACUCAUCCAGCCUCUACUAUUUCUCCCAGAGUUCAAACCCCCACUGGCCACUAACACUUUGUCUUCAUUUCUCUAAGGAUGCCUGCGGAGGUCACUCCUGGAUAAAAUUCUGAUUCAAAUCUCCAUUAUUAAGUCUUUCCCAGAAACCAAAACAAGAGUCAAGAGAUCCACCAUCAUUUUCCACUGAGGAAAGAAAGUCAAGAGAGUGAAGAGGCCUCCGAAGGUGCCACACCUAGCGGGUGUAGGCAGUGUUGGUAUCCAGGCAUCAGUGUCCAGGACUACAUUAUACAAAGCCUCCAGCAAGCCAUCAUUUUACAGGGGAUGAAACUGAGUUCCAGAGACAUGACACGACUUGCCAAGAUAAUA
This is a non-coding RNA of Myodes glareolus (Bank vole), 1526 nucleotides long. Lineage: Eukaryota; Metazoa; Chordata; Mammalia; Rodentia; Cricetidae. The record is from RefSeq and is a predicted model, not a curated record.